This 643-nucleotide unclassified non-coding RNA is filed under the name Hevea brasiliensis (rubber tree). Lineage: Eukaryota; Viridiplantae; Streptophyta; Magnoliopsida; Malpighiales; Euphorbiaceae. The record is from RNAcentral.
AAGAGUUAAUCAAUUCACUAGGGUUUCAGAGAAGGGUCAAAAAUGACCCUUUUCCUGAUUAUGAGAAAUUCAUCUGUUGCUUUUGAGUGCUACCUUAAACUCUUUUUGACAGGUUCAACUGAAGUUACAAUUUUUAAGCAUCGCCUUUUUUUUCCCUCCUGAUAAAAAACAAUAAGUAAAUAAAAAUAAAAAUUAUUCUGGCUCAAGAGUGUGAACUUUGUAAAUAGUGGAUGGUUGAAAAUUAUGCUAUUUUUAUCCAUUUAAUUUUAAUGAGCAACAGGUGUAGUACAGAAAUUACCCGUUUAUUUCUUGUGAGCAAAUAGAUAUUAAUAUGUUCUAACCAGAGUGUAUUCUUUCCUAGUUUUCAAUGACUCAGAUCUUAAUGUUUUCGUUUUCUUCAUGAAAUUUGAAAUUUUCAUUAUUAUAAUAGGUACUUGUUACCAUAGAUUGCCACAUUCACAAUAGUCACAGUCUCCAUUUCCAUUAUAUGUUUGAUUCAUGGAAAAUGCAAAUGGAAUGAAAAGAAAAUAAUAAAGAUGAUUCAAAUUGCUUAAGAAAACUAUGGUUCAAGAGCAUUCCUUCCCUUGUAAGAAAUUAUGUUCAUAACUUUUGCUGUUGAUAAAGUAGCAAUUUGGCAUCCAUU